RNAcentral lists this long non-coding RNA (242 nucleotides) under Mytilus galloprovincialis (Mediterranean mussel). The record is from RNAcentral. Lineage: Eukaryota; Metazoa; Mollusca; Bivalvia; Mytilida; Mytilidae.
UUAUUACUUGCAAACCCUAUUUUUAUGUAUAGUAAUAUUCACGUUAUUUUCUAUGAAUAUUCAUUAGGGAUUUACUUGAAUCAUUGUAUUUGAUUGGCUGUUAAUAUUUUCGCGGUCAAGUUUAAUUUCCUUUGUUUUGUACCUGUACAUUUCCACGGGACGAUAGCCAUGACAGUCCAUUGAAUUUAUGUCUGUUUAUCUUGACCACAUAGUUUACCUGUAAACCUUAUAUAUUUUGGACA